RNAcentral lists this ribosomal RNA (482 nucleotides) under uncultured bacterium. RNAcentral's name for it is "partial 16S ribosomal RNA". It matches the Rfam family "Bacterial small subunit ribosomal RNA", at positions 30 to 507 of the family's 1533-position model. The record is from RNAcentral.
AUUGAACGCUGGCGGCAUGCCUUACACAUGCAAGUCGAACGGUAACAGGUCUUCGGAUGCUGACGAGUGGCGAACGGGUGAGUAAUACAUCGGAACGUGCCCGAUCGUGGGGGAUAACGAGGCGAAAGCUUUGCUAAUACCGCAUACGAUCUACGGAUGAAAGCGGGGGAUCUUCGGACCUCGCGCGGACGGAGCGGCCGAUGGCAGAUUAGGUAGUUGGUGGGAUAAAAGCUUACCAAGCCGACGAUCUGUAGCUGGUCUGAGAGGAUGAUCAGCCACCCUGGGACUGAGACACGGCCCAGACUCCUACGGGAGGCAGCAGUGGGGAAUUUUGGACAAUGGGCGAAAGCCUGAUCCAGCCAUGCCGCGUGCAGGAUGAAGGCCUUUGGGUUGUAAACUGCUUUUGUACGGAACGAAAAGCCUCUUUCUAAUAAAGAGGGGUCAUGACGGUACCGUAAGAAUAAGCACCGGCUAACUACGUG